AACGAACGCUGGCGGCGUGGUUUAGGCAUGCAAGUCGAGCGAGAAAGUCCUUCGGGACGAGUACAGCGGCGAAAGGGUGAGUAAUAUAUAGGUAACCUACCUCUUGGACUCGGAUAAUUCCUGGAAACGGGUUGUAAUACGAGAUCGUCCUAUUGGGUCGCAUGGCCCGACUGGUAAAUGGUAGCUCUGCUUCUGCCGAGAGAGGGGCCUAUAUCCUAUUAGCUAGUUGGUGAGGUAAUGGCUCACCAAGGCUUUGAUGGGUAGCCGGACUGAGAGGUUGGCCGGUCACACUGGGACUGAGACACUGCCCAGACUCCUACGGGAGGCUGCAGUCGAGAAUCUUCCGCAAUGGGCGAAAGCCUGACGGGGCGACGCCGCGUGAACGAAGAAGGCCUCGG
Molecule: ribosomal RNA, 398 nt
Filed under: uncultured bacterium
Lineage: Bacteria
Description: bacterial SSU rRNA
Rfam family: Bacterial small subunit ribosomal RNA
Source: RNAcentral